This 497-nucleotide ribosomal RNA is filed under the name uncultured bacterium. RNAcentral's name for it is "partial 16S ribosomal RNA". It matches the Rfam family "Bacterial small subunit ribosomal RNA", at positions 28 to 507 of the family's 1533-position model. The record is from RNAcentral.
GAUGAACGCUGGCGGCGUGCCUAAUACAUGCAAGUCGAGCGAACAGAUGAGGAGCUUGCUCCUCUGACGUUAGCGGCGGACGGGUGAGUAACACGUGGAUAACCUACCUAUAAGACUGGGAUAACUUCGGGAAACCGGAGCUAAUACCGGAUAAUAUAUUGAACCGCAUGGUUCAAUAGUGAAAGACGGUUUUGCUGUCACUUAUAGAUGGAUCCGCGCCGCAUUAGCUAGUUGGUAAGGUAACGGCUUACCAAGGCAACGAUGCGUAGCCGACCUGAGAGGGUGAUCGGCCACACUGGAACUGAGACACGGUCCAGACGCCUACGGGAGGCAGCAGUAGGGAAUCUUACGCAAUGGGCGAGAGCAUGACGGAGCAACGCCGCGUGAGUGAUGAAGGUCUUCGGAUCGUAAAACUCUGUUAUUAGGGAAGAACAAAUGUGUAAGUAACUAUGCACGUCUUGACGGUACCUAAUCAGAAAGCCACGGCUAACUACGUG